ACCGGAAGUAAAAACAGCGUAACAAGGUCUCCGUUGGUGAACCAGCGGAGGGAUCAUUAC
This 60-nucleotide ribosomal RNA is filed under the name Fusarium cf. equiseti MY-2011. RNAcentral's name for it is "partial 18S small subunit ribosomal RNA". Lineage: Eukaryota; Fungi; Ascomycota; Sordariomycetes; Hypocreales; Nectriaceae. The record is from RNAcentral.